UACAGAGGUGGCAAGCGUUGUUCGGAAUUACUGGGCGUAAAGGGCGCGUAGGCGGCCUUCUUAGUCGGACGUGAAAUCCCCGGGCUCAACCCGGGAACUGCGUCCGAUACUGGAAGGCUUGAAUCCGGGAGAGGGAUGUGGAAUUCCAGGUGUAGCGGUGAAAUGCGUAGAUAUCUGGAGGAACACCGGUGGCGAAGGCGACAUCCUGGACCGGUAUUGACGCUGAGGCGCGAAAGCCAGGGGAGCAAACGGG
This 253-nucleotide ribosomal RNA is filed under the name uncultured bacterium. RNAcentral's name for it is "partial 16S ribosomal RNA". It matches the Rfam family "Bacterial small subunit ribosomal RNA", at positions 524 to 776 of the family's 1533-position model. The record is from RNAcentral.